This 495-nucleotide ribosomal RNA is filed under the name uncultured bacterium. RNAcentral's name for it is "partial 16S ribosomal RNA". It matches the Rfam family "Bacterial small subunit ribosomal RNA", at positions 28 to 507 of the family's 1533-position model. The record is from RNAcentral.
GACGAACGCUGGCGGCGUGCCUAAUACAUGCAAGUAGAACGCUGAGGGAGGAGCUUGCUUCUCUGGAUGAGUUGCGAACGGGUGAGUAACGCGUAGGUAACCUGCCUGGUAGCGGGGGAUAACUAUUGGAAACGAUAGCUAAUACCGCAUAAUAUUGACUAUUGCAUGAUAGUCAGUUGAAAGGUGCAACUGCACCACUACCAGAUGGACCUGCGUUGUAUUAGCUAGUUGGUGGGGUAACGGCUCACCAAGGCGACGAUACAUAGCCGACCUGAGAGGGUGAUCGGCCACACUGGGACUGAGACACGGCCCAGACUCCUACGGGAGGCAGCAGUAGGGAAUCUUCGGCAAUGGACGGAAGUCUGACCGAGCAACGCCGCGUGAGUGAAGAAGGUUUUCGGAUCGUAAAGCUCUGUUGUAAGAGAAGAACGAGUGUGAGAGUGGAAAGCUCACACUGUGACGGUAUCUUACCAGAAAGGGACGGCUAACUACGUG